Long non-coding RNA from Clarias gariepinus (North African catfish), 1787 nucleotides. RefSeq lists it as uncharacterized. The transcript is spliced from 6 exons. The record is from RefSeq and is a predicted model, not a curated record. NCBI's taxonomy places the organism in Eukaryota, Metazoa, Chordata, Actinopteri, Siluriformes, Clariidae.
AGGCUUGGGAUGGGUGUCCUGACCAAACUUCAGGGCUGCCGACAUGGUGCAAGCUUGUGGCCUUCGUGAGGAUGCUUGUGCAGUACUGAUCUGUACAUGCUGUGGUGUCCACCUGAGGGCGCACUGGUCCCAGCACCGGUCAAUCCCUGAGAGGCCUGGAUAAUAAACAUGAGCCAGAUUCAGAAUCCAAACCAGGUUGUGAAUGUUUCAUCCUGUCCAGUCUGUGGGAUUCUCCAAAGUGAAGAUCAACCUGAAAGGAUGCUGAUGUAUAAAAGGUCAGCGUGGCGUUCUAAUGGUCACUCCCAACGAAAGUGACGUGUGGGUUUUGUUUUUCUUAGUGUCGUGCAAUUCUAAAACAAUCCUUGCAUGGAGGCCUGCAACAUAGAAUUGAUAUAAUUGAUUACUAAAAGAGUAGGUAACAAAUUUCAUAAUCGAUUCGUGGUGUUGUGCGAUGCAGAGACAUUUGAUUAUUUAAAAUCAGAGUGAAUACACUGGGUCUCUCUAGCGCACUGAUGCUAGCAGAGUUUAGCACCUCAUAAACAGGGCGGAGCAAAAAUAAAACGAGUGAAGGUAGAGGAAAACUACAUGGUGCAGACAAAGAAAUCCAUGUGACCCAAGUCAUCCAAGGUGUGGGAGUAUUUUGCUCUAAAUAAACAGAAGUGUGUUGACUGCAUAGUAUGCAAAAGCGACAUGGCAUGACACAGGAGCACCACGGCAAUGAUUCAGCACCUGAAAUGCAAGUGUGCAUCUGUAGUGUAGAGAAGUUCUUACAUUCAAGCAAAUGCUGUUAAAUGUUCUAAUUUGUAUUUUUAUAUAUAAAACUAUUGUUCUAGCAGGUGGCACUAUUUUUAAAAGUCUAUAUUUGGCAGAUGUAAGGCAUUUGUUUUUUUUUAUCCAUUUUUAUUAUAACAGCUCACUGUGCAACAUGUUUGUUCACUUUCUAAAGAUUUUAGUUCUGUUUUUGAAUAAAAUUAAUGCCUGUUUUUUUCUGGUUAAUUGACAGAAUAAUAAAUUAAAAUAAUUGUUAGUUGCAGCCCUUCUUGCAUGUAUCCCCUUGUUAAAGCAAAUUUAGCUCCUUCAGGUUGUGUAAACUCAUGUCAUCCAUGCAGCUUGGUCGUAUUUUUGUUGCUGCGCUGUGUCAUUUUCUGGCGUCACAACUCCUGGCUCGGUGGGGCGAAUAUCGUAUAUAAUGUUUUUUUCCUUGUUUAUUCAAAGCGUCACAGCUCAUAAAGGAUAAGGCCUUCAUGUGUUACUUGUAUUAUAGGAAUACAUUGAGCACUCAAACUGCAUUAUAAUUGGGAGCCUUUCUGCCAAGCAGAGACUCAACUCUCGGCAUUUCCCACGGGUCAUGGAAUGCAGAUUAAAGGAUUCUCUUUGGGGAGCACAGCUUGCAGUACUCCUUUCAUUCUCCCCUUACCUAAAAGCCUGUUUGACUGAAAAUGCUGGUGUUUCAGUUGCGGCAGUCUGUUGUAUUUCAUACAAAAUCAAAAGUGCUAAGCAAUGAAGUUUAAAUGAAAAAAGGGGGGGGGGGUCGGGGCUGGUGCAGUAUAUCUGUGGUUUGAGCAUGUGAAGAAUAAAUUAUAAACAAGCCAUUGCUUUCCUUGAUGGAAUCUGAGGCCCGUAUUAAAAUUGUUAAGAACCUAUCCAUCAGGAAUAGUUUCUUCCUUUUUUUUUUUUUAGAAUUGUGAAAUUGGUGUUACUGAUUUUUGCCCUGACUCAGCUCUAAAUCUGUAAAUCAUGGUUCUGUGUCCAAAAGUCACUAUUAAUAAAGUUAUUUUAUGCUGGAA